RNAcentral lists this ribosomal RNA (1003 nucleotides) under uncultured bacterium. Its description in RNAcentral is "bacterial SSU rRNA". It matches the Rfam family "Bacterial small subunit ribosomal RNA", at positions 1 to 1006 of the family's 1533-position model. The record is from RNAcentral.
UUCGCCCUUAGGGUUUGAUCCUGGCUCAGGAUUAACGCUGGCGGCAUGCCUAAUACAUGCAAGUCGAACGAAGUAGUUUACUACUUAGUGGCGAACGGGUGAGUAACACGUAUCUAAUCUACCAUUUAGUGGGGAAUAACUGUUGGAAACGACAGCUAAUACCGCAUAUUGUUCCUAGUAUGAUUUACUAAGAAUGAAAGGAGCUUUCAAGCUUCGCUAAUUGAUGAGGAUGCGGCGCAUUAGCUAGUUGGUAGGGUAAUGGCCUACCAAGGCAAUGAUGCGUAGCCGAUCUGAGAGGAUGAACGGCCACAUUGGGACUGAGACACGGCCCAAACUUCUACGGAAGGCAGCAGUAGGGAAUUUUUCACAAUGGGCGAAAGCCUGAUGGAGCAAUGCCGCGUGACUGAUGAAGGUCUUCGGAUUGUAAAGGUCUGUUGUAAGGGAAGAAAUAAUAAAACAGGAAAUGGUUUUAUUUAUGACGGUACCUUACCUAGAAAGCCACGGCUAACUAUGUGCCAGCAGCCGCGGUAAUACAUAGGUGGCAAGCGUUAUCCGGAUUUAUUGGGCGUAAAGGGUGCGUAGACGGUUUUAUAAGUCUGUGGUUAAAUAUGAGAGCUCAACUCUCAUCUGCCUUGGAAACUGUAAAACUAGAGUGUAGGAGAGGCUAAUGGAAUUCCAUGUGUAGCGGUGGAAUGUGUAGAGAUAUGGAGGAACACCAGUGGCGAAAGCGGUUGGCUGGCCUAUUACUGACGUUGAUGCACGAAAGCGUGGGGAGCAAAUAGGAUUAGAUACCCUAGUAGUCCACGCUGUAAACGAUGAGUACUAAGUGUUGCCAUAAGGCAGUGCUGUAGCUAACGCAUUAAGUACUCCGCCUGAGUAGUAUGCUCGNCAGAGUGAAACUCAAAGGAAUUGACNGGGGACCCNGCACAGCGUGAAGCAUGUGGUUUAAUUCGAAGCACGCGAAGAACUUACANGNCNUGACAUACCUUGCAUACUAUAGAGA